This 409-nucleotide ribosomal RNA is filed under the name uncultured bacterium. Its description in RNAcentral is "bacterial SSU rRNA". It matches the Rfam family "Bacterial small subunit ribosomal RNA", at positions 505 to 916 of the family's 1533-position model. The record is from RNAcentral.
GUGUCAGCAGCCGCGGUAAUACGGAGGCUGCAAGCGUUAUCCGGAUUCAUUGGGUUUAAAGGGUGCGUAGGCGGAAUUGUAAGUCAGUGGUGAAAGCCUGCAGCUUAACUGCAGAAUUGCCAUUGAUACUGCAAAUCUUGAGUACAUUUGAUGUGGGCGGAAUAUGUCAUGUAGCGGUGAAAUGCUUAGAUAUGACAUAGAACACCUAUUGCGAAGGCAGCAUACUACGGAAAUAUUGACGCUGAGGCACGAAAGUGUGGGGAUCAAACAGGAUUAGAUACCCUGGUAGUCCACACCGUAAACGAUGGAUACUCGACAUACGCGAUACACAGUGUGUGUCUGAGCGAAAGCAUUAAGUAUCCCACCUGGGAAGUACGACCGCAAGGUUGAAACUCAAAGGAAUUGACGG